This 1100-nucleotide long non-coding RNA is filed under the name Mytilus galloprovincialis (Mediterranean mussel). The record is from RNAcentral. Lineage: Eukaryota; Metazoa; Mollusca; Bivalvia; Mytilida; Mytilidae.
UUAUUAUUGUAUAUAUGAAGAAGGUAACUAAACUCAUCAUAGAUAAAUAGGAAUGAAAUUUUGUAUCAACGCCAGACGCGCGUUUCGUCUACAAAAGACUUAGAAGUGACGCUCAAAUUAGAAAAUGUUUAAAAAGAAGUACGAAUUGGAAAAACAUUGAGGACCAACAAAUCCUAAAGGUUUUGUCAAAUACAGCUUAUGUAACACAGCUAAAAACUUUAUUUUCAAUGUGGCCAUCUUGAGGGGUUAUACCAUAAAUGUUUUCCAAAUUGUUAAGCAUAUAGUGAGAUAAAUCAGCAUGUAUUUUUGGAUAUAGAUCGGAAAAACAUUUUUUUUUUCAUAUCUCAUUUUAAAACACGUUAAUGCUUUUUUCUAUUCAGCUGCAUGAUUGUUCUUUUGACACAGUUUAAAGUUGAAGCUCUUUUUUAUAUGUAUGUGCUUAAGUGGGAUAUAUCGAUAUUACCCAUAGAACAAAAUUUUGACUAAUUAACGUAAUGGCAGUAAAUGUUCUGUUAUCGGACAGCAGCCGAUUAAUGUACAAAUAUUUUCCUCUACUAUUAUAACCUUAUAAUAACCUGCAAUCUUACUAUAACCAACUGUUUAUUAAUUUAAAAAUAUCUGUAUCUUAAAUUGGUAUUAUCUGUCUACAAUGAUUAAUGUUCUACACACUUUGAUAUACUGACAUCACUAUCUUUGAAAAAUCCUAAAAGUACAAAAAAUAUAUGUAAUUUAAUAUUCACUUACAUAGGUAUGAUUUUCGUACUGUCCAUUCAUCCAAUUUAUUUAACAAAUAGCUUCAUUUUAAGUUUUACUUAGGCGGUAUUCGGCAUACUUUACCAGCUUGUUAUAACUGAGCGAAUGUUGGCUUGUUUACAAAUUUUUGGCAAUGUUUCCUUUAUCAUUGAAAAGUUAAAGGCAUUCUGUCUUUAACAAAAAAAUUACAACAGUUUUUAUAAUAUCCAGAAGCUCUUCUAAUAAUUUAUUUUUUUUCACAUAUUAUAUGCAUUAAAUAGUAGACUUAAAGUUUAUUAUAUUUCUGGAUAAAUGUAUUUUGCUUUUCUUAAAUAUAUACAAAAUAUUCAUUUUGUAUUCGCAACUUC